This 604-nucleotide ribosomal RNA is filed under the name uncultured bacterium. RNAcentral's name for it is "bacterial SSU rRNA". The stretch from base 1 to 519 matches the Rfam family "Bacterial small subunit ribosomal RNA", at positions 338 to 873 of the family's 1533-position model. The record is from RNAcentral.
CCUACGGGAGGCAGCAGUGGGGAAUCUUGCGCAAUGGGCGAAAGCCUGACGCAGCCAUGCCGCGUGAAUGAUGAAGGUCUUAGGAUUGUAAAAUUCUUUCACCGAGGACGAUAAUGACGGUACUCGGAGAAGAAGCCCCGGCUAACUUCGUGCCAGCAGCCGCGGUAAUACGAAGGGGGCUAGCGUUGCUCGGAAUUACUGGGCGUAAAGGGAGCGUAGGCGGAUAGUUUAGUCAGAGGUGAAAGCCCAGGGCUCAACCUUGGAAUUGCCUUUGAUACUGGCUAUCUUGAGUACGGAAGAGGUAUGUGGAACUCCGAGUGUAGAGGUGAAAUUCGUAGAUAUUCGGAAGAACACCAGUGGCGAAGGCGACAUACUGGUCCGUUACUGACGCUGAGGCUCGAAAGCGUGGGGAGCAAACAGGAUUAGAUACCCUGGUAGUCCACGCUGUAAACGAUGAGUGCUAGUUGUCGGCAUGCAUGCAUGUCGGUGACGCGAGCUACGACAUAAGACACGUCCGCCGUGGGAGGUACGGUCGCGAAGUAAGUUAAACGUUACGAAAGUAAGUUAGUUAGACGNGNGNGCGAGCGACGACGACGGAGAGGAG